AGGAAGUUACAGAGUGGGAGGAGAGAAAAAGAGGCUGGGAGGGUGGAGGAGCCCUGUCUGGGUGAAGAAGAAGGACAGGCAAAGACCAAGUGGAGCUUCCAGAAAGCUAGAGACAAAGCAAGAGAACAUCAGGUCUUAGAGGCUACUGGAAAGUUUCAUAGAAAGGAUAUCACUUGUGGCCAUGUGGACUAAGAAGGGACAACUUACCCUCCUGCCCUCAACAACUACAAAAACAGAGCAGGAAGCUUAAAGUACUUUGACAUCUGUGUCUCACACUGGCGAGGGAGCUGUGGCAGGCAAUUUGGACCUAGCUGCUCAUAGCCUGGACACGGUGAGACAAUAGUUCCUGCGCAAAGUGAACCCCGCGCAAAGCUGGAGUGGGCAGCAGCUCCUGAAGGCAAGAAUGACAAAAUCACCUUUCGAUACAUCUGUGUGGAUGUCUAACAGCCAUCACAAACAUGGCAUGUCCCCAGCUGUCUUCUUAGUAGACAGGAGAUGUCGUAACCAAAGUACAUCCCACAUUGAAGCCCUCCUCACUCCCAGCCUGCUCCAGCUGCCCAUCCCACCUGCCCAGCUCCAAUGGCUCCUGAAUUCCCUGUGUUAGCCUCACACUUUUCUGCAGUCUACUUUCCACACAGGAGCAAGAAUCUUUUAAAAUACAAGUCAGAUUUUAUUACUACCUGGA
This is a long non-coding RNA of Chinchilla lanigera (long-tailed chinchilla), 685 nucleotides long. RefSeq lists it as uncharacterized. The transcript is spliced from 4 exons. Lineage: Eukaryota; Metazoa; Chordata; Mammalia; Rodentia; Chinchillidae. The record is from RefSeq and is a predicted model, not a curated record.